Molecule: ribosomal RNA, 1055 nt
Filed under: human gut metagenome
Description: bacterial LSU rRNA
Rfam family: Bacterial large subunit ribosomal RNA
Source: RNAcentral
AGGCGUAGCCGAUGCACAGACGGUAGAGAUUCCGUCACCACCAAAAGAGUUAAGCACAGGGACACAUAUGAAGUCUCAGAGCCGGGUGUUGGUUCCGGUAGAGAUCGAGGGAAAUUAGUACCGAAGUCUGAGAUGGAAGAUGGCGAGAAAAGCUGUGUGUAUUUCUGAGGUGCCCGUACCGCAAACCGACACAGGUAGGUAGGAAGAAGAUUCUAAGGCCAACGGGAGAAGGGUUGUUAAGGAACUCGGCAAAUUGACCCCGUAACUUCGGGAGAAGGGGUGCUCCAGAGAUGGAGCCGCAGAGAAUCGGCCCAAGCAACUGUUUACCAAAAACACAGGUUUGUGCUAAAUCGAAAGAUGACGUAUACGAGCUGACGCCUGCCCGGUGCUGGAAGGUUAAGAGGAGAUGUGCAAGCAUUGAAUCGAAGCCCCAGUGAACGGCGGCCGUAACUAUAACGGUCCUAAGGUAGCGAAAUUCCUUGUCAGGUAAGUUCUGACCCGCAUGAAAGGCGUAAUGAUUUGGGCACUGUCUCAACAGCCCGCCCGGCGAAAUUGUAGUACCGGUGAAGAUGCCGGUUACCCGCGACAAGACGGAAAGACCCCAUGGAGCUUUACUGUAGCCUAAUAUUGGGUUUCGAUGUUGCAUGCACAGGAUAGAUGGGACUCUGGGAAACCAAGGCUUUGGCCUUGGCGGAGAGGCCGUUGGGAUACCAUCCUUGCGAUAUUGGAAUUCUAACCUGCGGCUCUGAAUCGAGUCGGGGGACAUUGUUAGGUGGGCAGUUUGACUGGGGCGGUCGCCUCCUAAAGAGUAACGGAGGCGUUCAAAGGUUCGCUCAGCUUGAACGGAAAUCAAGCAAAAGAGUGCAAACGCAGAAGCGAGCCUAACUGCGAGACUGACGGGUCGAGCAGUAACGAAAGUUGGAGUUAGUGAUCCGGUGGUAUGUGAGUGGAAAUGCCAUCGCUCAACGGAUAAAAGUUACCCUGGGGAUAACAGGCUGAUCUCCCCCAAGAGUCCACAUCGACGGGGAGGUUUGGCACCUCGAUGUCGGCUCAUC